Molecule: unclassified non-coding RNA, 224 nt
Filed under: uncultured fungus
Lineage: Eukaryota; Fungi
Description: sequence contains ITS1, 5.8S rRNA gene
Rfam family: 5.8S ribosomal RNA (bases 176-224)
Source: RNAcentral
UUUCCGUAGGUGAACCUGCGGAAGGAUCAUUACCUAGAGUUUGUAGACUUCGGUCUGCUACCUCUUACCCAUGUCUUUUGAGUACCUUCGUUUCCUCGGCGGGUCCGCCCGCCGAUUGGACAACAUUCAAACCCUUUGCAGUUGCAAUCAGCGUCUGAAAAACUUUAAUAGUUACAACUUUCAACAACGGAUCUCUUGGUUCUGGCAUCGAUGAAGAACGCAGC